RNAcentral lists this ribosomal RNA (468 nucleotides) under uncultured bacterium. RNAcentral describes it as "partial 16S ribosomal RNA". It matches the Rfam family "Bacterial small subunit ribosomal RNA", at positions 28 to 507 of the family's 1533-position model. The record is from RNAcentral.
GACGAACGCUGGCGGCGUGCUUAACACAUGCAAGUCGAACGGAAAGGCCCUGCUUUUGUGGGGUGCUCGAGUGGCGAACGGGUGAGUAACACGUGAGUAACCUGCCCUUGACUUUGGGAUAACUUCAGGAAACUGGGGCUAAUACCGGAUAGGAGCCCCUGCUGCAUGGUGGGGGUUGGAAAGUUUCGGCGGUUGGGGAUGGACUCGCGGCUUAUCAGCUUGUUGGUGGGGUAGUGGCUUACCAAGGCUGUGACGGGUAGCCGGCCUGUGAGGGUGACCGGCCACAUUGGGACUGAGAUACGGACCAGACUCCUACGGGAGGCAGCAGUGGGAAAUAUUGCACAAUGGGCGGAAGCCUGAUGCAGCAACGCCGCGUUCGGGAUGACGGCCUUCGGGUUGUAAACCGCUUUCGCCUGUGACGAAGCGUGAGUGACGGUAAUGGGUAAAGAAGCACCGGCUAACUACGUG